UUUAACAAUAUAUAAGUUGAUAAAUAUCAGUUGCAAUAUUAUUAAACGAAUGGCCAAUAUUAGUUUUACUAGUCUGUCUUAUUAAAACAGAAACUUUCAUUUCAUCCAAUAGUUUUUUUUUAAUACUUGUUAGGUGAGAUAUAUCAAGCAUGAACAAAAAUAAAGCAAUCUUUAAUUUAUGACACGCUUAGUUCCGUCAAGAAAAUACAAAAUAUAGUAGUAAAAUGGUACAUGGAUGAACGAGCAAGCAGAAUGAGUUCGCCCUAGAGCUUAACGCUCCCAGGCACGACUUACGAAGCAGCCGCCAGAUCGAAGAUUUCAACAUGAGCCUCUGCCUCCGGUGUCCCUCCUCCGCCCCGCUCCACUUCUGACCGCCGCGACUUCACUCUCUCCGGUCUUUCCGUCACUUCACUCCGGCCUUUCCGUCACUUCACUCCGGCGUCUCUUCUCUGUUUGGCUCCAUGCUAUCUGAAGGUGUGACUCUGCUCAAGCUACUCCCCUCGAGUCAGGUAGAUUCAGCAGAACAACUGUUCGUUCUAGGUGAGAGGACCUUGUCGGGGAACCUCGUCGCUCCUCCUCCUCGUUCCCCAGAGCCACCAGACCCACCGGUCCCGCCAGAUCUACUCCAUUCACCUCUGAAUCGAACCAGUACGCAUCCCUCUCGUCCCGUCAGAUCCAUGAACACGCAGCUUGAUCGUUACGUGCCAAACCUAGCCUUAAGGGCCGUGUCUCCACCUCUGCAAGAUUGGUGUAGUAAUGUGGAGAUUUUGGUUGAAGAAAACGUCUCCAGGCUGGUCUCUCUCCAACACUCAGCAAAUCAAAGCUUUGAGGACUGGCUUUUGAUUGUUAAAGUAUGGGUGGUGAUUUGCUUGGUGGAUGUUCAGCCCUUCCUCUUCACCUCUGGUGGUCUUUCAACCCGCUUCAUCUACGAGAUCCGACGACAUCGUGGGGUUGAGGCAAAGCUAAACCAGAUCUGCCUUGCCGGUAGAGUCUACUGCUCCACCGUACUUGCUGCUCCCUGCUUCUCCACCGACAUUCAUGUUGACCUCCUCCCCACACGUAAUGAUAAUACCACCACCGCCUCUACCUCACUUCGACGCAGUAUACUUGUAUCCAUCUCCAUUAUGUGUGCCCUGCAACAACGAUUCUCCCUUGUGCUCUGGACUACAACGACGAGUCCCACCGGACGUGGAGAGUUUGAUUUAUCAUCGCUCUCUAGUGAGCAAUCUGAGAACGACUGGCGC
RNAcentral lists this long non-coding RNA (1244 nucleotides) under Brassica napus (rape). RNAcentral's name for it is "long non-coding RNA (BNAP_LNC001556)". Lineage: Eukaryota; Viridiplantae; Streptophyta; Magnoliopsida; Brassicales; Brassicaceae. The record is from RNAcentral.